This 953-nucleotide long non-coding RNA is filed under the name Mus musculus (house mouse). Its description in RNAcentral is "long non-coding RNA chr16:38457443-38458396". Lineage: Eukaryota; Metazoa; Chordata; Mammalia; Rodentia; Muridae. The record is from RNAcentral.
AGUAACCAGAGGCCGCAAGAAGAGAUCACUUGUAUAUACACGGGCCCCAUCUUUUGAUUUUUAAGACAAAAGAAAAAGAAUCUUCUUCAACAAGUAAGUAAAUGCAUUUACUAUUUAUCAUGCUAUGGGACACCUUAGUAGAACACGCUAUCUUCAGCCUUAUCAUAUGCAUAUUUUGUUGUUGUUGUUGUUGUUGUUGUUGUUGUUAAAGACAGGGUCUCAUAUAUGCCAGGCUGGCCUCAAACUUUCAGUGUAACCCAAGAUAAUCUGGAACUCCCGACUCCUCUGCUCCCACCUCUCCAGUGCAGGACACUGUUUAUACCGUGCUGGGGAAUUGAACUCAGAGCUCCCUGCAUGUCAGCUAAGCAUUCUACCGACCAAGUCCCAUGCCCAGUCCCUAACUCCCCAACUUCACUGCUUUUUAAACAUACAUACAAUCAUAACUUGCCCUCAGAGCAGUCUCCUGGGGUCUCUUAUUCUCAAGGCUGCGGCAUUCCAACACUGUUAGAAAAACACCAUCAGGAUUCUUUUGUGUUUCCUAGAUGCAAACAUUUUUGUAGGGCGAAGUUGAGGUUUUUCUAAUCAAGAAAAUGCCGGUAACAAGUCUCUUCAAGCUAACUGGUUGGCUAAGGGGUAUCUCUCCAAAAGAAGAGAUCCACAUGUCAGGCCAGUUGUAGGCAUGAUGUCUGUCUCCCUCCCUUUCUUUCUUUCUUUCUUUUUUUCUUUCUUUCUUACUUUCUUACUUUCUUUCUUUUCUGUUUUUUGGUUUUUCGAGACAGGGUUUCUUUGUAUAGCCCUGGCUGUCCUGGAACUCACUCUGUAGACCAGGCUGGCCUCGAACUCAGAAAUCUGCCUCUGCCUUUACCUCCUGAGUGCUGGGAAUUAAAGGUGUGCACCACCAUGCCCGGCUGGGAUGUCAUUCGUUUUCAUUUCUCAAUUUUGAUACUUUAUGG